RNAcentral lists this ribosomal RNA (2900 nucleotides) under Klebsiella pneumoniae. Its description in RNAcentral is "23S ribosomal RNA". It matches the Rfam family "Bacterial large subunit ribosomal RNA". Lineage: Bacteria; Pseudomonadati; Pseudomonadota; Gammaproteobacteria; Enterobacterales; Enterobacteriaceae. The record is from RNAcentral.
UUAAGCGACUAAGCGUACACGGUGGAUGCCCUGGCAGUCAGAGGCGAUGAAGGACGUGCUAAUCUGCGAAAAGCGUCGGUAAGGUGAUAUGAACCGUUAUAACCGGCGAUGUCCGAAUGGGGAAACCCAGUGUGAUUCGUCACACUAUCGUUAACUGAAUACAUAGGUUAACGAGGCGAACCGGGGGAACUGAAACAUCUAAGUACCCCGAGGAAAAGAAAUCAACCGAGAUUCCCCCAGUAGCGGCGAGCGAACGGGGAGCAGCCCAGAGUCUGAAUCAGCUUGUGUGUUAGUGGAACGGUCUGGAAAGUCCGACGGUACAGGGUGAUAGUCCCGUACACCAAAAUGCACAGGCUGUGAACUCGAAGAGUAGGGCGGGACACGUGGUAUCCUGUCUGAAUAUGGGGGGACCAUCCUCCAAGGCUAAAUACUCCUGACUGACCGAUAGUGAACCAGUACCGUGAGGGAAAGGCGAAAAGAACCCCGGCGAGGGGAGUGAAAAAGAACCUGAAACCGUGUACGUACAAGCAGUGGGAGCACCUUCGGGUGUGACUGCGUACCUUUUGUAUAAUGGGUCAGCGACUUAUAUUCUGUAGCAAGGUUAACCGUAUAGGGGAGCCGCAGGGAAACCGAGUCUUAACUGGGCGUUAAGUUGCAGGGUAUAGACCCGAAACCCGGUGAUCUAGCCAUGGGCAGGUUGAAGGUUGGGUAACACUAACUGGAGGACCGAACCGACUAAUGUUGAAAAAUUAGCGGAUGACUUGUGGCUGGGGGUGAAAGGCCAAUCAAACCGGGAGAUAGCUGGUUCUCCCCGAAAGCUAUUUAGGUAGCGCCUCGUGAAUUCAUCUUCGGGGGUAGAGCACUGUUUCGGCUAGGGGGUCAUCCCGACUUACCAACCCGAUGCAAACUACGAAUACCGAAGAAUGUUAUCACGGGAGACACACGGCGGGUGCUAACGUCCGUCGUGAAGAGGGAAACAACCCAGACCGCCAGCUAAGGUCCCAAAGUCAUGGUUAAGUGGGAAACGAUGUGGGAAGGCACAGACAGCCAGGAUGUUGGCUUAGAAGCAGCCAUCAUUUAAAGAAAGCGUAAUAGCUCACUGGUCGAGUCGGCCUGCGCGGAAGAUGUAACGGGGCUAAACCAUGCACCGAAGCUGCGGCAGCGACACUAUGUGUUGUUGGGUAGGGGAGCGUUCUGUAAGCCUGCGAAGGUGUGCUGUGAGGCAUGCUGGAGGUAUCAGAAGUGCGAAUGCUGACAUAAGUAACGAUAAAGCGGGUGAAAAGCCCGCUCGCCGGAAGACCAAGGGUUCCUGUCCAACGUUAAUCGGGGCAGGGUGAGUCGACCCCUAAGGCGAGGCCGAAAGGCGUAGUCGAUGGGAAACAGGUUAAUAUUCCUGUACUUGGUGUUACUGCGAAGGGGGGACGGAGAAGGCUAUGUUAGCCGGGCGACGGUUGUCCCGGUUUAAGCAUGUAGGCUGGUUGUCCAGGCAAAUCCGGAUAAUCAAGGCUGAGGUGUGAUGACGAGGCACUACGGUGCUGAAGUAACAAAUGCCCUGCUUCCAGGAAAAGCCUCUAAGCAUCAGGUAACAUCAAAUCGUACCCCAAACCGACACAGGUGGUCAGGUAGAGAAUACCAAGGCGCUUGAGAGAACUCGGGUGAAGGAACUAGGCAAAAUGGUGCCGUAACUUCGGGAGAAGGCACGCUGGUGUGUAGGUGAAGCCCCUGCGGGUGGAGCUGAGACCAGUCGAAGAUACCAGCUGGCUGCAACUGUUUAUUAAAAACACAGCACUGUGCAAACACGAAAGUGGACGUAUACGGUGUGACGCCUGCCCGGUGCCGGAAGGUUAAUUGAUGGGGUUAUCCGUAAGGAGAAGCUCUUGAUCGAAGCCCCGGUAAACGGCGGCCGUAACUAUAACGGUCCUAAGGUAGCGAAAUUCCUUGUCGGGUAAGUUCCGACCUGCACGAAUGGCGUAAUGAUGGCCAGGCUGUCUCCACCCGAGACUCAGUGAAAUUGAACUCGCUGUGAAGAUGCAGUGUACCCGCGGCAAGACGGAAAGACCCCGUGAACCUUUACUAUAGCUUGACACUGAACAUUGAGCCUUGAUGUGUAGGAUAGGUGGGAGGCUUUGAAGCGUGGACGCCAGUCUGCGUGGAGCCAACCUUGAAAUACCACCCUUUAAUGUUUGAUGUUCUAACGUUGGCCCCUGACCGGGGUUGCGGACAGUGUCUGGUGGGUAGUUUGACUGGGGCGGUCUCCUCCCAAAGCGUAACGGAGGAGCACGAAGGUUAGCUAAUCCUGGUCGGACAUCAGGAGGUUAGUGCAAUGGCAUAAGCUAGCUUGACUGCGAGCGUGACGGCGCGAGCAGGUGCGAAAGCAGGUCAUAGUGAUCCGGUGGUUCUGAAUGGAAGGGCCAUCGCUCAACGGAUAAAAGGUACUCCGGGGAUAACAGGCUGAUACCGCCCAAGAGUUCAUAUCGACGGCGGUGUUUGGCACCUCGAUGUCGGCUCAUCACAUCCUGGGGCUGAAGUAGGUCCCAAGGGUAUGGCUGUUCGCCAUUUAAAGUGGUACGCGAGCUGGGUUUAGAACGUCGUGAGACAGUUCGGUCCCUAUCUGCCGUGGGCGCUGGAGAAUUGAGGGGGGCUGCUCCUAGUACGAGAGGACCGGAGUGGACGCAUCACUGGUGUUCGGGUUGUCAUGCCAAUGGCACUGCCCGGUAGCUAAAUGCGGAAGAGAUAAGUGCUGAAAGCAUCUAAGCACGAAACUUGCCCCGAGAUGAGUUCUCCCUGAGACUUUAAGUCUCCUGAAGGAACGUUGAAGACGACGACGUUGAUAGGCCGGGUGUGUAAGCGCAGCGAUGCGUUGAGCUAACCGGUACUAAUGAACCGUGAGGCUUAACCUU